UCCAGACUCCUACGGGAGGCAGCAGUGGGGAAUAUUGCACAAUGGGGGAAACCCUGAUGCAGCGACGCCGCGUGAGUGAAGAAGUAUUUCGGUAUGUAAAGCCCUAUCGGCAGGGAAGAAGGAGGACGGUACCUGACUAAGAAGCCCCGGCUAACUACGUGCCAGCAGCCGCGGUAAUACGUAGGGGGCAAGCGUUAUCCGGAUUUACUGGGGGUAAAGGGGGCGCAGGCGGCAGCGCAAGCCAGGAGUGAAAGCCCGGGGCCCAACCCCGGGACUGCUCUGGAAACUGGGUCGCUGGAGUACGGGGGGGGCAGGCGGAAUUCCUGGUGUAGCGGUGAAAUGCGUAGAUAUCAGGAGGAACACCGGCGGCGAAGGCGGCCUGCUGGACCGUGACUGACGUUGAGGCUCGAGAGCGUGGGGAGCAAACAGGAUUAGAUACCCCAGUAAC
Molecule: ribosomal RNA, 448 nt
Filed under: uncultured bacterium
Lineage: Bacteria
Description: bacterial SSU rRNA
Rfam family: Bacterial small subunit ribosomal RNA
Source: RNAcentral